CAAUAGCGUAUAUUAAAGUUGUUGCAGUUAAAAAGCUCGUAGUUGGAUUUCUGGUCGGAAGCUCCUGUCCUCUGAUGAGCGUACAAGUGCGUCCUACCAUCCUUCUGUUAACCUUUAAGGCUUUCGCGGCUUUCUAGGGGCUCAGAUAUUUUACCUUGAGAAAAUUAGAGUGUUUCAGGCAGGCUAGCGCCGGAAUACAUUAGCAUGGAAUAAUGGAAUAGGACUUUUGCCUCUUCUGUUGGUCAUGAGGCUCGAGUAAUGAUUAAUAGGGAUAGUUGGGGGCAUUAGUACUUAACUGUCAGAGGUGAAAUUCUCGGAUUUGUUAAAGACUGACUUAUGCGAAAGCAUUUGCCAAGGAUGUUUUCAUUA
Molecule: ribosomal RNA, 369 nt
Filed under: uncultured eukaryote
Lineage: Eukaryota
Description: partial 18S ribosomal RNA
Rfam family: Eukaryotic small subunit ribosomal RNA
Source: RNAcentral